GGAGGGGUGGCCGAGUGGUCGAUGGCGCACGCUUGGAAAGCGUGUAUACCGAAAGGUAUCGUGGGUUCGAAUCCCACUCCCUCCGCCA
This 88-nucleotide transfer RNA is filed under the name Oceanibacterium hippocampi. RNAcentral's name for it is "tRNA-Ser". It matches the Rfam family "tRNA". Rfam says of the family: Transfer RNA (tRNA) molecules are approximately 80 nucleotides in length. Their secondary structure includes four short double-helical elements and three loops (D, anti-codon, and T loops). Lineage: Bacteria; Pseudomonadati; Pseudomonadota; Alphaproteobacteria; Sneathiellales; Sneathiellaceae. The record is from RNAcentral.